CCUACGGGUGGCAGCAGUGAGGAAUAUUGGUCAAUGGACGCGAGUCUGAACCAGCCAAGCCGCGUGCAGGAUGACGGCCCUAUGAGUUGUAAACUGCUUUUGUACGGGAAUAAACUCAGAUACGCGUGUCUUUCUGCAAGUACCGUACGAAUAAGGAUCGGCUAACUCCGUGCCAGCAGCCGCGGUAAUACGGAGGAUCCAAGCGUUAUCCGGAUUUAUUGGGUUUAAAGGGUGCGUAGGCGGUCUGUUAAGUUAGUGGUGAAAGGCCGCGGCUCAACCGUGGAAUUGCAGGUGAAACUGGGAGGCUAGAGAGCAGUUGAGGUAGGCGGAAUGCGUGGUGUAGCGGUGAAAUGCUUAGAUAUCACACAGAACUCCGAUUGCGAAGGCAGCUUAC
RNAcentral lists this ribosomal RNA (394 nucleotides) under uncultured bacterium. Its description in RNAcentral is "partial 16S ribosomal RNA". It matches the Rfam family "Bacterial small subunit ribosomal RNA", at positions 338 to 729 of the family's 1533-position model. The record is from RNAcentral.